RNAcentral lists this ribosomal RNA (2120 nucleotides) under human gut metagenome. Its description in RNAcentral is "bacterial LSU rRNA". It matches the Rfam family "Bacterial large subunit ribosomal RNA", at positions 1 to 2003 of the family's 2925-position model. The record is from RNAcentral.
GGUUGCUUGCAAGGGCGUAUGGUGGAUGCCUUGGCAGACAGUACCGAUGAAGGACGUUUGAGGCUGCGAUAUGCCUCGGGGAGCCGCCAGCAGGGCUUUGAUCCGAGGAUUUCCGAAUGGGGGAACCCGCCGGCCGUCAUGGGCCGGCACCGCGUUCGCGCGGGGGGUACGCAGGGAAGUGAAACAUCUCAGUACCUGCAGGAAAGGAUGUUCCGUGAGUAGUGGCGAGCGAAAGCGGAUCAGGCCAAACCGCGCGCGUGUGACAGGCGCCAGCCGUUGCGCGCGUGGUGUUGAGGGAGCGUGUGUCCGGGUCCUGGCGGGCUCGGCCGGAGUGAUAAAACGGCGUGUGAGGCGAACCGGAUUGAAUGCCGGGCCGCAGAGGGUGAUGGCCCCGUAGCCGAACGCGCGUCGUCUCCGGAUCGUGUUUCCCAAGUAGCGCGGGACUCGUGGAAUCCCGUGUGAAUCCGCCCCGACCGUGGGGUAAGCCUAGAUAUACCUGUCUGACCGAUAGCGAACUAGUACCGUGAGGGAAAGGUGAAAAGCACCCCGGGAGGGGAGUGAAACAGUCUCUGAAACCGUGCGCUUACAAACCGUCGGAGCCUUUCGGGGUGACGGCGUGCCUAUCGAAAAAUGAGUCUGCGAGUCAGUGGCACGUGGCGAGCGUAACCCGUGUGGGGUACGCGUAGCGAAGGCGAGUCUCAAAAGGCGUUUGAGUCGCGUGUCCUGGACCCGAAGCGGGAUGAUCUAGCCCUGAGCAGGUUGAAGCGCGGGUAAGACCGCGUGGAGGACCGAACCCACCUGGGUUGAAAACCGGGGGGAUGACUUGGGGUUAGGGGUGAAAGGCCAAUCAAAUUCCGUGAUAGCUGGUUCUCUCCGAAAUGCAUUUAGGUGCAGCGUCGGGGAUUACGUCCGGGGGGUAGAGCUACUGGAUGCUUGAGGGCCCGUAUCGGGUACCGACAGCAGCCAAACUCCGAAUACCCGUGACGCGUAUCCCGGCAGUGAGUCGGCGGGGGAUAAGCUCCGUCGUCGAAAGGGAGACAGCCCAGAUCGUCGUCUAAGGUCCCCAAGCGCGUGCUAAGUGGGAAAGGAUGUGGAGUCGCAUAGACAGCCAGGAGGUUGGCUCAGAAGCAGCCAUCCUUGAAAGAGUGCGUAACAGCUCACUGGUCUAGUGGUUCCGCGCCGACAAUGUAGCGGGGCUCAAGCACGCCACCGAAGACGCGGCAGCGUCCGUUUGGAUGCUGGGUAGGAGAGCGUCCCCAUCGGGGCGAAGCGGCGGCGCAAGCCUGCCGUGGACCGUUGGGGAGUGAGAAUGCAGACAUGAGUAGCGAGAGGCGGGUGCGAAUCCCGCCCGCUGGAUGACCAAGGGUUCCGGGGCCACGUUCGUCGUCCCCGGGUGAGUCGGGUCCUAAGGCGAGGCCGACAGGCGUAGUCGAAUGGAUGAACGGGCUGAUAUUCCCGUACCGGCAGCGAACCGAAACAACCGAGGCCUGGGGCGCUAACCUCCGGGUCCGUGCCGUCUCCCCUUUCGGGGGGUCGCGGCGCGGGCGCGUUGGGAUCCCCCCUCGUAGUAGGUCAGCGCAGGAGUGACGCAUCAGGGCAGCCGGCCGCGGAGGUGGUUUUCCGUGGUCAAGCGUUCGAGCCCGUCCCGCAGGCAAAUCCGCGGGGCGUCGGGGCGAGGCGUGAUGAUGGGGGCCUUACGGCCCGAAUCCGGUGAUCCGUGGUGCCGAGAAAAGCUUCGGCGUCAGGCGCGUUGCCGCCCGUACCCCAAACCGACACUGGUGGUCAGGUAGAGAAUACCAAAGCGAUCGAGCGAAUCCUGGUCAAGGAACUCGGCAAAUUGCUCCCGUGCCUUCGGCAUAAGGGAGACCCCCUGCGGUGAUGAGCGGCGGGGGGUGGCACAGGCCAGGGGGUAGCGACUGUUUACCAAAAACACAGGAGCGUGCGAAGGCGCAAGCCGCUGUAUACGCUCUGACGCCUGCCCGGUGCCGGAAGGUUAAGAGGAUCCGUCAGCUUCUGCGAAGCGGUGAAUUCAAGCCCCGGUAAACGGCGGUGGUAACUAUAACCAUCCUAAGGUAGCGAAAUUCCUUGUCGGGUAAGUUCCGACCUGCACGAAUGGCGUA